This is a long non-coding RNA of Lolium rigidum, 556 nucleotides long. RefSeq lists it as uncharacterized. The record is from RefSeq and is a predicted model, not a curated record. Lineage: Eukaryota; Viridiplantae; Streptophyta; Magnoliopsida; Poales; Poaceae. The transcript has 2 exons.
GGCCGCCUGGCCGCAGCACUGAACGCGGAGGCCCGCCCCGGACCGGAUCUUCCCACGACCGAGCUGCGAGCCUGCGACCAGAACUCCAGAAAAAUGAAGAGAAAUAGCCAAAUUGCGCUACUUUUUCAGAAACAAGCAUCAAAGAAGAUUGCAUCUCCGGUCCAAUCCGAUAUUGUACCCGAUGAAGAAGUCGACUCCGAUAUUGAGAGUGAGAUUGACAUUGACAUUGAAGAUACAACACCACACCCACCUUCACCCCAACAACCAAAUGCAAGGUCACAUGAUGCUCACUUUCUUCCACAUGAUCCGGGGGAAAGGAUUCCUAUAUCAAGUUAUGAUGUUAAUAUUCAAGAUGAUGUUCGGAGAGGAUAUAUGCUAAAAGGUCCGUGCCAACCAUAUGAGCAUGAUUUCGCAACAACAAAAAAGAAGGGUAAAAAUCUACACUUUGUAAGACCCUUGUAAUGUUUUGAACUAUUUGUAUUGUAGUCGUGCACAUUUGAUAUAUGUGUUGAACUCCAAUGCAAUGAAUUUGUCUUGUAUAUUGUUCAUUACAUCA